This 311-nucleotide long non-coding RNA is filed under the name Salmo salar (Atlantic salmon). RNAcentral's name for it is "lncRNA (ENSSSAG00000109725.1)". The record is from RNAcentral. Lineage: Eukaryota; Metazoa; Chordata; Actinopteri; Salmoniformes; Salmonidae.
GUCAAGUUCAAUCAGGAAGGCGGGUCAAGUUCAAUCAGGAAGGCGGGUCAAGUUCAAUCAGGAAGGCGGGUCAAGUUCAAUCAGGAAGGCGGGUCAAGUUCAAUCAGGAAGGCUAAUCAAUUUCAAUCAGGAAGGCGGGUCAAGUUCAAUCAGGAAGGCUGAUCAAGUUCAAUCAGGAAGGCUGAUCAAGUUCAAUCAGGAAGGCUGGUCAAGUUCAAUCAGGAAGGCUGGUCAAGUUCAAUCAGGAAGGCGGGUCAAGUUCAAUCAGGAAGGCGGGUCAAGUUCAAUCAGGAAGGCUGAUCAAGUUCAAU